UAAAAUAAACAAACAAGAAUCAAUGCCCAGUGGACUACAUGAAUUUUAAAUUUAAGAGGCCUGUAAGAGAUACACUUUAAGGGUCCCAGCAUUUUUGCGUUUCGAGAUGCCACUUGCCGUUAUAAAAAGCUAGGAAUGCAAAGGGAAUCUCUUCAAGGAAAACCCAAUUGGUGGACUAUACGAAUAUCCUUUUCCUUUUAACAUAAAAGAUCAAAUCUUAUCUAUACAGUGUGAUGUUAAUUUUAGAAUGAAAAUACAAAUUUUAAAUGGAUAGAGAUGUUUAAAGAAAUAGGAAAUAAAACCUUAUAAAUA
Molecule: long non-coding RNA, 312 nt
Organism: Anoplophora glabripennis (Asian longhorned beetle)
Lineage: Eukaryota; Metazoa; Arthropoda; Insecta; Coleoptera; Cerambycidae
Exons: 3
Source: RefSeq, a predicted model, not a curated record